ACGAUACUCCCUCCGAUCCUAAAUUCUUGUCUCAAAUUUGCCCAAAUAUGGAUGUAUCUACUCUUAAAAGGCAUCUAGAUACAUGUAAUAUUUCGACAACAAUUUAGGAUCGGAGGGAGUAUGAU
Non-coding RNA from Brachypodium distachyon (stiff brome), 125 nucleotides. NCBI's taxonomy places the organism in Eukaryota, Viridiplantae, Streptophyta, Magnoliopsida, Poales, Poaceae. The record is from Rfam.